This 591-nucleotide ribosomal RNA is filed under the name uncultured marine eukaryote. RNAcentral describes it as "SSU rRNA". It matches the Rfam family "Eukaryotic small subunit ribosomal RNA", at positions 1 to 598 of the family's 1831-position model. The record is from RNAcentral.
AACCUGGUUGAUCCUGCCAGUAGUCAUAUGCUUGUCUCAAAGACUAAGCCAUGCAUGUCCAAGUAUAAGUGUUAUACAGCGAAACUGCGAAUGGCUCAUUAAAACAGUUAUAGUUUAUUUGAUAAUCGAAUUUACAUGGAUAACCGUGGUAAUUCUAGAGCUAAUACAUGCUGGUAUGCCCGACUUUUGCGGAAGGGCGGUAUUUAUUAGAUAACAAGCCAAUAUUCCUCUGGUCUAUUGUGGUGACUCAUAAUAACUGAUCGAAUCGCAAGGCCUUUGGCCGCGAUAAAUCAUUCAAGUUUCUGCCCCAUCAGCUUUCGAUGGUAGUGUAUUGGACUACCAUGGCGUUUACGGGUAACGGAGGAUUAGGGUUCGAUUCCGGAGAGGGAGCCUGAGAAACGGCUACCACAUCUAAGGAAGGCAGCAGGCGCGUAAAUUACCCAAUCCUGACUCAGGGAGGUAGUGACAAGAAAUAACGGACCGGUUCCUUCGGAUUCGGGAUUGCAAUGAGCCGAAUUUACACCCCUUAGCGAGGAUCGAUUGGAGGGCAAGUCUGGUGCCAGCAGCCGCGGUAAUUCCAGCUCCAAUAGC